This 565-nucleotide long non-coding RNA is filed under the name Homo sapiens (human). RNAcentral's name for it is "HSALNT0369533". The record is from RNAcentral. Lineage: Eukaryota; Metazoa; Chordata; Mammalia; Primates; Hominidae.
AGGUGAAGCUGCAGCCACCCAGCUGUGUGUGCGGACCCGGGCAUUUCUGUGCUCUUGGGGGCCAGGGACAGGCAGGGUCCCCGCCUCCUGGGGUGCAGCUACAGCCGCCCAAGCCAUGGCUACGGACCCAAGCAUCUCUGCACUCUCCGGGCCCGGGAAGCAGCCCCUUGCCCCAGCAGGCUCAGAAGUGCCUGCUCUCACUGCCUGGCCUCUCCCGGCGCCCUCUCCGAUCUCAGAGCAAAGUUGAGGCCAAGCCCAGGUGCUGUCACAAACCCAGUCGGCUGUGCCCACUCUUGGGGCAGUGCUGACACAUCAGGCCCCUGCCGCCUCAGCCCUCUCUGGAUUUUGGGCACUGACGAGCAUGGGCUGUGACACCCUCUUUGGGGCUCUGCGGUUCCUGGCAUCUCCAAUCUUCUGGGCGCUACUGCGUUCCCUGGUGCCAGCCAUGGAAGCUGCUUGCAGUAAGCCUGGUCUAGCCGCAGCCUCACAGGGAGCCGGCACCCGUGCGGGCACCUGGAGCUGCCCCACCCCCCGACCCCCAGCCGGCAUGCCUGGCUGUGCGCAG